This 791-nucleotide ribosomal RNA is filed under the name uncultured archaeon. RNAcentral's name for it is "bacterial SSU rRNA". It matches the Rfam family "Archaeal small subunit ribosomal RNA", at positions 85 to 879 of the family's 1478-position model. The record is from RNAcentral.
ACGGCUCAGUAACACGUGGAUAACCUGCCCAAGGGUCCGGGAUAACCCCGGGAAACUGGGGAUAAUACCGGAUGGAUCACUCAUGCUGGAAUGCUAGGUGGUCGAAAGGUAACGCCUUUGGAUGGGUCUGCGGCGGAUUAGGUAGACGCCGGUGUAACGUACCGGCGUGCCUGUAAUCCGUACGGGUUGUGGGAGCAAGAGCCCGGAGAUGGAUUCUGAGACACGAAUCCAGGCCCUACGGGGCGCAGCAGGCGCGAAAACUCUACAAUGCAGGCAACUGCGAUAGGGGGACAUCGAGUGGCAUCCACCUUGGGUGCCUGUCCAACCGUCUAAAAAACGGUUGUUAGCAAGGGCCGGGUAAGACCGGUGCCAGCCGCCGCGGUAAUACCGGCGGCUCGAGUGGUGGCCGAUAUUAUUGAGUCUAAAGGGUCCGUAGCCGGCUUUGCAAGUCCCCUGGGAAAUCCAGCGGCUUAACCGUUGGGCUUUCAUGGGAUACUACAUUGCUUGGGACUGGGAGAGGUAGGAGGUACUCGAGGGGUAGGGGUGAAAUCCUGUAAUCCUUCGGGGACCACCAGUGGCGAAGGCGUCCUACCAGAACAGGUCCGACGGUGAGGGACGAAAGCUAGGGGCACGAACCGGAUUAGAUACCCGGGUAGUCCUAGCCGUAAACGAUGCCCGCUAGGUGUCACGACGGUCGUGAAUCGUCGUGGUGCCGUAGGGAAGCCGCGAAGCGGGCCACUUGGGAAGUACGACCGCAAGGUUGAAACUUAAAGGAAUUGGCGGGGGAGCAC